This 632-nucleotide ribosomal RNA is filed under the name Mycobacterium sp. Se1Pw_3173. RNAcentral's name for it is "bacterial SSU rRNA". It matches the Rfam family "Bacterial small subunit ribosomal RNA", at positions 381 to 1022 of the family's 1533-position model. Lineage: Bacteria; Bacillati; Actinomycetota; Actinomycetes; Mycobacteriales; Mycobacteriaceae. The record is from RNAcentral.
GCCUGAUGCAGCGACGCCGCGUGAGGGAUGACGGCCUUCGGGUUGUAAACCUCUUUCACCAGGGACGAAGCGCAAGUGACGGUACCUGGAGAAGAAGCACCGGCCAACUACGUGCCAGCAGCCGCGGUAAUACGUAGGGUGCGAGCGUUGUCCGGAAUUACUGGGCGUAAAGAGCUCGUAGGUGGUUUGUCGCGUUGUUCGUGAAAACUCACAGCUCAACUGUGGGCGUGCGGGCGAUACGGGCAGACUGGAGUACUGCAGGGGAGACUGGAAUUCCUGGUGUAGCGGUGGAAUGCGCAGAUAUCAGGAGGAACACCGGUGGCGAAGGCGGGUCUCUGGGCAGUAACUGACGCUGAGGAGCGAAAGCGUGGGGAGCGAACAGGAUUAGAUACCCUGGUAGUCCACGCCGUAAACGGUGGGUACUAGGUGUGGGUUUCCUUCCUUGGGAUCCGUGCCGUAGCUAACGCAUUAAGUACCCCGCCUGGGGAGUACGGCCGCAAGGCUAAAACUCAAAGAAAUUGACGGGGGCCCGCACAAGCGGCGGAGCAUGUGGAUUAAUUCGAUGCAACGCGAAGAACCUUACCUGGGUUUGACAUGCACAGGACGUGCCUAGAGAUAGGUAUUCCCUUGUG